GAGCGAACUGAUUGGAACCUUGCUUCUAUGACUUUAGCGGCGGACGGGUGAAUAACACGUGGGCAACCUGCCUGUAACACUGGGAUAACUCCGGGAAACCAGAUCUAAUACCAGAUAACAUUUUUUCUUGCGUAACAGAGAAUUGAAAGAUGGUUUCCGCUAUCACUUACAUAUGGGCCCGCGGUGCAUUAUCUAUUUGGUGAGGUAACGGCUCACCAGGGCAACUAUGCAUACCCGACCUGAGAGGGUGAUCGGCCACACUGGGACUGACACACGGCCCACACUCCUACGGGAGGCAGCUAUAGGGAAUCUUCCGCAGUGGACGAAAGUCUGACAGAACAACGCCGCGUGAGUGAUGAGUGCUUUCGGGUCAUAAAACUCUGUUGUUAGGGAAGAACAUGUACGAGAAUAACUGCUUGCACCUUGACUGUACCUAACCAGAACGCCACCGCUAACUACGUGCCCACCCCCCGCUGUAAUAC
This 482-nucleotide ribosomal RNA is filed under the name Bacillus sp. Al-Dhabi-19. RNAcentral describes it as "bacterial SSU rRNA". It matches the Rfam family "Bacterial small subunit ribosomal RNA", at positions 64 to 526 of the family's 1533-position model. The record is from RNAcentral. Lineage: Bacteria; Bacillati; Bacillota; Bacilli; Caryophanales; Bacillaceae.